Molecule: long non-coding RNA, 7520 nt
Filed under: Amborella trichopoda
Lineage: Eukaryota; Viridiplantae; Streptophyta; Magnoliopsida; Amborellales; Amborellaceae
Description: long non-coding RNA (ATRI_LNC002124)
Source: RNAcentral
AUAAAAGAAAAAGCAUAUAAUAUCAUGUGACAAUCUCUUUACCUGAUAGGAACACAUGUUUAAAAUUAUGCAUGUUUCAGUGGCAUUGCUUAGAAUUCAGGGAUCCAAGCAAAUUACAAAGGCUAUCCUUAAAGCUUGCAUAAACAAUACAAUAGAGAAAGACUAAAUGAAACACAAAUUCGACUCGCUCUAAAUAUCCUUGCACUAGCUAUGAUGGAUGACUCUUCUUAGAAAAAAACCUAGGCAUCGUGUCUUUGUUGCUAGCAUAAGCUCUAACAAAGAACCUUGAGACAUUUUCUGAAGCUAUUCUUAAACCUUGCUGGAAUGGUACUUGGGAUCUUCUUUCCAUUCCUUGAGGAAAACAAAUAGGCCUGACCCAAUUAGUAUCUAAUCUGAGCAACCAAGCUGCAACUGUUCAGCCCAACAUUAGAUUUCCCAGUGUUUACAUUAGAUUUCCAAGCUUACCCAUAAAAAAAAGCUCUCUCCCUCUGUGUAAGUGUGUCGUUCGAUCAUGUCAGACCAUACAUCGCAUGCUAAUAUGUCCAUCAAAAGUAGCAUAGAUGCAGGAUAACAGAUUUGAAACAUGAAAAGCAAGUCAACACAAGUUUCAAAUAAAUUAUCAAAGAAAAUUUGAACUUUUGAACAAUGCUGCAUGUCAUAAUUUCAGUACCAAGCAUAACAACCAUGAGUUGGAAAAUAUCAUGUGUCCUUCCCAUAAAAGUAUUUAGUACACAUAUUUCAAAUUAAACAAACUUCUCCCAUAAAGAAUAUAAAUUAUGGGAAUCGGAUGUAUUUUACUCUUGACCAAUUUGAUUGCAUCCAAAUAUUUGUCUGCCAUUAAUUUAGACUACUGAUAUAAAACCAAGAAAGUACAGAAUAUAAAAUUUAAACAAGCUUCUUUCAUAAAGAAUAUAAAAUAUGGGAAUCGGAUGUAUUUCACUCGUGCCCAUUCUGAUUGCAUCCAAAUAUUUGUCGGUCAUUAAUUCAAACUAACGAUAUAAAACCAAUAAAGUUAAGAGCAUGUCAUAGAAGUUGUCACUUCAGCAGAGAAAAAAUAUCAAAGCAUCAAAGAGAAUCCACUUCACACAUAUUAACAAUCCCGUGUAAUGCACGAUGACUGAUAAUUAGAUCACAGUCACAAUAGUCACAAAUAAGGGCAAUGUAACUACAAGAUUUCCUUUUUGGAUAGAAGAAACACAAAUAGUUGGGAAUAGGGAUGAAUCUAAGGUCCCCUAAUAGGAAGUAUGGGUCAGAACUUUGCAGCACACAAUGAAAAUCUGGGAUAGUCUGCAUAGCAGUACAAGUUCAGUCAAUAAUUUAGGCUUCAUAUGCCAUGUCAUAGUUUCAUGCUUCUUACCCUAUUCACCCCGCACUUGACUAAGAACAGUACAACAUGAUGGAGAGCUUCAGGACAACUUUUCUUACAUAUUGUAAAAGAUGGACCAAGAGUGGCAGUUGCAAUUCCAGACCAUUCAUAUGACCCCAAGGCAAACAGCAGUGCAUUGACCACCAACACAUUCUCGACAUAUAACAAAAAUAAUGGAUUUUAAGCUCUUCUCAGAUAUAGCCUUUUCUAUAGGGUAAUGGAUGCUGUACAGAAAACCGCUUCGUUUUCUGAUCUUAACAGAUCUUCCAAGCCUCCACACUGGCAGAUAAGCCAUGAUGUGCAACAAUAAGGCACGACUAAAUAAAGGUCAUACUCUCAGAAAAACUGCAGAGAAUGCAGCCUAGUAAAUCUUUAAGUUCCGCUUAGGCAAUUGGUAUCCAAACCCAGGUUUUUCCUUUCUGCCUUGUGUCUUUGCUAUUCCAGGCCAAAACAUGGGUAGAAUGUUAAAAAGGAAAAACCACAUCCGCACUGUUAUAUUAUUCCAUCAUAUGGCAGUAUUCACUAAGAGGUUCCGCCUGCCCCUUUUUUAUCCAACUUAACCGAACCGAAUAUCAGUUUUAUUUUUUUUUAUAUUUUUUGAAGUUUAGGACUAUAAGAUGGGGGGUUCCCAUCUUGGAGUAAGUUCGAUGUUUCAAACAUCGAACCGUCCUCUAAGUUGGGUAUUGUUAGGCUUUUUAGGUUGGUCCGAUGUUUGAAACAUCAGAUCGCCUUAAACCUUCAAAAAUGAGAUUAAAAUGCGGUCCCAUGUUAUAAACAUAGGACCGCCUUUAAAUGUCCUAAAUAUAAGGUUCGGACCGCCUUUAAACCAUGUUUUUGGAAGAAAUAUUCAAACCUUGUUAAUACAUAUUUUUGAAGGUUUAGAUUGCCAGAUAAAUGCGAUGAUAGCACAUGGUGGGGGACACUAUAAAGAAGAAAACAUUUUUAGAAAAUGACAUGUCGCUUAAACUUUUCCUUACAAAUGUAAGCCUCAAGUGAAUUGUGCGGCUUAUAUUUGGAAGUUUUCAAAUACAUGUUAACAAGGUUUAAACCUUGCUAUCCUAUUUCUUUAAACCUUCAAAGUACCAUUUUUUUUAAACCUUCCAAAAAUGAGGUUUAAAGACAGUCCGAUGUUUGAAACAUCAAGCCACAUUUUGAACCUCAUAUUUGAACAUUUAAAGGUCGUCCGAUGCUUAUAACAUCUGACGGCAUUUUUUAAGGUUUAAGGCAUUCAAAACACUAAUUUUUUUAAUGUUUAAAGGCUGUCCGAUGUUUAUAACAUCCGACCUCAUUUUUUUAGGUUUAAGGCGGUCCAAUGUUUCAAACAUCAGACCAACCUAGAAAAUGAAACAAUAUUGCAACUUAUAGGGCAGUCCAAUGUUUGGAACAUCAAACCUACCCCAAAAUGGCCCCCUACCUUACCAGUCAGUCCUAAACUUUAAAAGAAAUAAAAAAUAAAAUUAAUAUUCAGUCUGAUGUUUGAAACAUCUGACAGGGGGGGGCAAAGUUGGGAAACAAAAGAAAAAAAACACAGGCAAGACCUCCGCAUAAAUACUACAUAUUUUUGGACAUUUCUGUUAUAAUAGAAAAAUAUAAUGGUAAGGACAUAAUUUUUCAUACAAAAGUAUACUAUGCUUGCUCAAUUUCCACUUACAUAGAUGGACAUUUAUAGCAGAAACAUAGGCACAACUGGCAAUCCCCAAAUAUUAUAUUUCUAUUUAUACAUAUUAUUUAAUACUUUAUCCAUCCUUGAAGUAUCUAGUACAGGUAUCAGUGUUCGAUCAUGUUGAUGCAUGUAUUUUAGUAGAAAAAAAGCAUUCGAGUAUCUUGGCCUAAACGCCUCAGAGUGCUACAAAUCAACACUAUAUCAAACACAUAUUUAAGAAUACUGAAACUUCAAACAAAUUUUAAAUGCCCCUAUGUAGGUGCAAUAGUUAAGAGAACUCACAAUAACAUAUUGUGAUACAAAGAAUUUGGGACACAUACAAUGCAUAGGCGUACCAAGAUUCAAGAGAAAUUGAAAACCGGUUGCCCCAGCACAAAAUGCAAAAGCCAAAGGAACGAACAGGUGUCAUCAUCUACUUGCAUAAGCUAGAAAAGCUCAAAAAUUUUGUAAUGCUUUGAAUAAGCCCAGGGACUUUUCAUGCCCAGAAAGAAACCAACAUGGGUUGCCAACCAUCAAGACAUAGCUACCAUGUACUCAUUCUAGUAAUGGGACAGCAACUAAUACUGCUGAUUGUUCGCAAGGGUGUGAAAAGUUAAACGUGCCUUUUUGUAGAAAAUGUAUAUUGAUGCAGCUUUUAGAAAAAGAUUGUUUCAGGUUCCCAGGCAACAGGGAAAUUUCUAUUAAUAUGAUCCUAGAAAUGAGACCGUAUACAAAAUUCAAAAAUAAAAUAAAUAAAAUAUUAGAAAUGUUACAUAUAUUAUCUGAUAAUAAUAUGAUAUGGAUUUUUACAAGAUAGCAAACACGCAUCAUUUUUACAAGAAAAUUUGCAAAAUAUUAGUAGAAUUGCAACCAAACUGCACAAUAUUGAUAUAAUUCGAUGGAAAAUUUGCACAAAUCUGGUAAAAACUUUUGAGAACAUUCCUAAAAAGUUUUGUAUCCUUUUUAAGUCCUAGUAUGGAGGGGGUCUUACCAGAAAAAGGGUUUUAGGUAACAUAAUAGGGAUGGGCAUGGGCAAGCCUGGCCCGAUUCAGGCCUAGUCAUCAGGCCUUGACUAGGAUACCAGCACAAUUGGUGACCGAGCUGGGCUUGGCUUGACAACCCCUUUGUGGCACAGCUGCUUGAUUAAAGAAAAAAAAUCUAACAAAAUGGUGAGGUUCGAUCUUGAGUAAAAGUGAGAAGAUUAUAACACAAUAACAAGUCAAGCCAUCAUUGCUUUGUGUUUAAUGUCUAAAUUUAAAUAAAUAUAUCAUCUUAUUACACCAAGUACUGUUAUCCAGAGAUAAAGUUAACAAGCUGAUGUUCAUUAGGUCCAAGAUUCUUAGCCAUGUACAAACGAGCCCCACUACAGGGACUUCAAUAAGCAGCAUAUUCAAUUGAUACCCAAUUAUCUCAAAUGGAGAUUGAUUCCAUGGUGGGAUUUAUACGGCUGAAAUCAAUGCAAUUGAUGGAAUCCAAUAAGAGCCAUGCAAUGAAGAGAAAGAAACUUUAUUCUAAAAAACCAGAGAACCCAACUUCAAAACCUCUCCUUGCUUGUUGUCAUGAAACACUUCCGAGAGUAGGAUUAGGGUAGAUUUUCUAGGCAUUUUAAUUAAGAAAGAAACAACAGAUUGUCAGAAUGGAGCCAUUGUUUGAGAGGAGUGGAACCUGGGCUCUAGUUUUGUUGGUUUGAUGAAUGAGAAGAAGGAAGUUUUCUAUGGGGGACUCCAUGGCCAGAGUUCCAAGUGAUAGCUAUGUAAUUCUCUUUACAUUGAGAUUGCAUUUUCUGAGAAGAAUAAAUCAAGUCUAAUGGGUUUUUUCACCUUUUUGAAGGUUUUGGUUAUGGAGAGAAGGGUAAUUAUGGGAGACAUGGAAAGGAGGUUGCUGCAAUUGCAGAAUCUGCCAUCUUUAAUACUAGAGAAAGAGAGAGAGAGAGAGAGAGAGAGAUCAAAGGCCAAACAAAUUGGAGAGAAUGAAUAACUGGGAUGCAAUAAAAGAUCAAUGGCCCUGUUAUUUUUUAAAACCAACUUCAAAACCUCAAACCUACCAAUACUGGGUGGUUUCUCUCUUCCGGAUUCCCAUUAUUGGGUUCUUAUUAACAUUAAAAUUCUAGAAAGAGGGGAGAGAGAAAAUAUGGAAAGGGGGGUUCAGCUAACAAUAGUUCCACAUCGGAGAGAAUCUAGGAUUUAUGGGCUCAAGUGCUACAAAGAGGGCUCCUGAGAUGUCAAUUGCAAUCAAACUUAUAACUAGAUUAGCUUUGUCAGACUGGACCUGGGCCUCUCAAGACUCAUUCGAGCAAGGUUCAGGCCUGGCCCAAUAAGGAAUUGGUACUGGGUCAGGCCCAACCCUAUAAAAUAUUUCUCAAACUUGAGCUAUCAAACAAAUUGUAAAAGACUCUCGAAGCCUUGUUAUAGCUAAAAUGUGUCUAUCCAUUCAAUGAUGAAGACCAUUCCCAACUCGUUAGUAAAGUUAAAAUCACCUAUCAAUCAAAGGAAUAGAAAACAGUAUAAAUUUUCAAAUAUUUCUCCCACAAAAUUUUCUUUUCUUUUCUUUUUUUUUUUAUUUCUUUUUCUUUGGAUUUGGGGGCGGGGGGUGGACAGAGGGGAGGGGGGUUAAAUUUUUACUUGGGUCCUGGUCAGAAUAGAACUCUAGACAUCAUAUGGUGGAUGCCACCCUGACCACCUCUCCCUAAAGCCCGUUCACCUCCCAAGACAUUGUCCUAAUAAAUAGUAUAUUACCACAGAAUUUCGAAGGCGAACUUGUCAUCCUGGCAACUACCAAGGCAAACAACAGCAGGAAAGGCAUCCCUAGAAAUUGCUAAAGCAGCAAAGUAGGCUAGUCCCAAGUUGCUUGUGCUAAUAAUGACCUAAAAACCUCUACAAUACAAAAUAGAGGUCAUAAUGACAUGGCAACAAUAGCAUAUGACAGUAUAUCAUUUCUUGCAUUAAAUUUAAUCUUUCGCAGGAAUGAAGUAUACACAAUAUGCAAAUAAUGUUAGUACAUACUGAACUACUUAUUAAAGAAAAGGCAGAUUACAUGUUCUCAUUGACAACACCUCUAGUAUAACAUACCCAUAAACAUGGAUCAAUCCAAUAAAUACAGAAGAAAUUUAAUGGUGAGAAACAUGAUACAAAUAACUGACCUUAUUAGAACAAUUAGCAUGAGAUAUGCACUUGGAUGAUUAUCCAAAAAUCAGAGUCCCCUAGAUGAUCCACUAGGCCAUAUCCAAUAGAAAAUUGUCUCUAAUGGCACUCCUAGUCCUGCUCUUGCAAGAGCUUCUUUAGGAGCCUCUGUGAAUACAAAUGGACUUACUCAAAUGUCCAUACAAAAAGCUGUCAAAGGUUCAAGGACAACACUUUAAUAUGAACACAAAAUUUUCGAUUAAAAUGUUCAGUUUUUUGGCAAAAGAAUAUCCUUUUCAUAAAGCAAAUUUUUCUCAAAAGGGCCUUCUUUCCAAUGGAGUCAAAUUUUCCUUUAAAGCAGUCUCCAACUCGAGAAUGACAAAAGGGAAUCGUCAAUUGGCAAGCCAGUAUAGAUACUAUGCCACAGGAUGGAUACUUAUUUGUGGAUAAUCAUCACAUGGGUGAGGUAAAAAACUGACUUCUUCAUAAGUCAGUUCAAACGUUUAUUUCACACUAUUUUCAUGAUUUAAAUUACCAACUCCAAACCAUAAAGAAAUGCGGGAAACAAGAACGUCAACAACUGUACACAAUAAUUUUAAAUCCAAUUCAAUGUAUUGCAGUAUCAUAAUGAUCUAUUGAUCUGACAAUGAUCCAAUUCAAUUUAUAACAGCCACUGAUACUUAAACAAUAGUUGUUGGGAUCGGGAGGGGACCAUGAAAGGUUAGAAGAUUUCGUGGUUAGGAGCAUUGUCCAUGCAUUGCAUAUGUUAGGGAUCGAGAUCGCUAAAUGUUUGGAUCUCGAUUGCAACCCCAAUGCGAACCUUUUGGGUUCUUGAUCCUAACCUUUUGGAGAUCUUUCUGCAAACUUUGAAAAGUACAUAUAGUAUAGAAAUAUACAUGCUCUUAAUGCAGAGAUCUCUUUAUUUAUAGCCAGCAAACAAUGCAACUAUAUUAAAAGUAUAAUUGCAAUCUAGCAUGGAAAUCAUCAUUUUGGUUAUUAUCUUGGUCUUUAGGUGGAGAUCGAGAUCCCUAACAGUGGCCAUUGAGAUCCAUAACAGGAGGGAUCAAGAUCCUGAAUUUAAAAAUCGAGAUCCUUUGAAGAUCUCAUUCAUGAAAAGCGGAAGCGAGAUUCCGAAGCGGGAUCACCAUCUAGAAUGGAGAUCACAGCAACUAUGGCUCAAAUCAUUUCUUAUUGUUUCCACGAGUCAACUUGAUCUAUUCUUUCCAUCUGAAAGAGCCCAUUAAUGCUGAAAAGAAUUCAACCCCCAAUAGAAAAAUCCAAUCAUAGACCUAGCGCAGUAAGUAUUUAGUCAGCACUAUGAUCAACCUCAUGUUAACGGUAAUAAAACAAUAUUUGAUAACUAUUGUAGCACCUGCUCCUUUGACCAUCUUAC